Molecule: non-coding RNA, 109 nt
Organism: Phyllosticta citriasiana
Lineage: Eukaryota; Fungi; Ascomycota; Dothideomycetes; Botryosphaeriales; Phyllostictaceae
Source: the annotation of a GenBank genome assembly
GCGGGGUUGGUGUAGUUGGUUUAUCACGUCAGUCUAACAGCGCGUUUCUUCCAUCCAAGAAGCCUGUGGAGAGCACUGAAGGUCGCGAGUUCAAGUCUCGCAUCCCGUA